UAAAGGUCAAUAGCAAUGACAAAUAUAUCACUGUAUGUGUUUGAAUAUGCAAUAUCAGCCUAAUCUCAUGGUGGAGGUUUUCACACCCUGGAAAUAUCAAUCAGGGAUUCAGCACGUGAACACUGGAAUCUAGUCUGAACUUCAGAAGAGCACUGUCCUGCUCCAGAUUAUGCCUAUGGCCUUUGGCAGCUGCUUAGCUGAUCCCACCCUGCUCCAAACCCUGGUAACAAGAACCUGACUGGACAUCUGUCAUCAAUCAUUAUGGAAACAUGAUGCUUGCUGCAUUCACGUAGUGUUUGAUAUGUAUCAAUUGCAGGCAGGCAGGUUGUAUUUUCUGUAGAAGACUUUGAGGAGAUAAAAGAAGGAAACUGCUGAAGACAUGAAAAAUGGGAUUGGUCCCUGGCUGAAGUCUGAACUAUCGUGUAUGAGAAAUUAUCGGACAUUCCUAAGUAUUCCAAACCUUCCUUUCUCUAUGACAGAUUCUCCAGGCCUUUUGCGGCCCUUGGGUGGACUUACUGCAGGUGGUCUCUGUCUUUUUGGUAGUGUGGAGCCUACUGCUGGACACGGCACUCCAAAUGCAGCCUCACCCAUGCGGAGUAGCAGGGAAAGAUCACCUCCUUCAACUUGCUGGUGAUGCUCUUCCUAAUGCAAUCCAGGAUGCCUUUCUUGCUGCAAGGGAACAUUGCUAAUUCGUGGUCAGCUUAGCGUCCACCAAGGGAAGCACAAAGGGAAAAGGACAAAUUGUGGCAUAUAUCGAGAAACCAGGUAUUUCCUGCUCCAUGACUGAUGUUGCUGUUGUUGCGCCCACUAACAGUUUAUCAAGAUCAGAAACAAGGAAAAAUAAAAUUACCUGUCUUAUAAAUCACUUCUCUUUAGAUCAUAUAAUAUCUUGACCAAAUGAAGAAAAUAGAAAAGUUUUGUGACAACAAAAGAUUAUGUAUAUUUAUGGCUUACCUCUAAACACAUUCAGUGUAAUAUCCUAGAAUUUAUUUAAAAACCUGGAAAAUACGCUAUAAGGUUUAAUGCUUCUACCUGCUAUAUUAUAAAUAACUUUAGAUCUGGGGGAGAAGAACUGAUUGAAAAGACAGACUUCUUUAUUAAGGUACAAAACUAGGAACUAAUCUUGUGUUAGUUUCAGGCAGAAUUUUAACUGUUGUGCUGAACUUACUUUUCUAGAAUUAGGAAAAAUUACAGUAUACAUAAAAAGAACUAUUCUUAGCAUGUAAUAUUAUUAUACAUUUAUUACCUGUAAUGUUGAUUAAUAUUAUUAAUGGCAUGUUAAUUCAAUAUAUUUAUAUGUAUUUUUUCUACAGUGUAAAACAUUAUUCAUUUUAAGUCUUGGCUACUUAAUACGUUUCAGUAGUUUAAGAGCACAGGGUUGAAGUGGAAUCUAAUAAUAUUUGUCUAACAAAUGUAGAAAUAUAAGAAUGAAGAAUUAUCUCAACAGUUUUUCAGUGUCCAGUAUCUUGCUAGAAAGAAUCAUCAGUACCAAACGUAGGCACUUCAUGACCUGUUUUGAAAUACCAUUUCUGUUUUUUCUAACUCUUCCUUCCUUUCCUUGUGAUUGAUUUGAACAUUGCAGCAGGACUAUGAUAAAAAUAUUAGAUAAUUGCAUGUGUCUAUUGUGCAAUUGCUUGGGUAAUUUUUAGGGGGGGAGAGUUUAUAUAAGCAAAAAAAAUGUGUUGGAACAGUUGAUAUGUUGAUCUAAUGGAAGGUGCCCCUGCCCAUGGCAGUGGACUUGGAACUAGAUAAUCUUUAAAGGUUCUUCCCAGCUCAAACCAUUUUACAAUGACCAUGAGGACUCAUUACAGUGGAGGACAUCUAUAUAGAUUCAUGCAUAUGGAUAGCACUUGAUUCAAAUUGCUGCCAUGUUAAUGGACAGUGAUUUAGGGGCAACACCCAGCUCAUGUUACAAGUCAGAGCCUGUAGUCCUAAUAAUUGCAUAGGUUAAGAAAUACUCAACAUUUUAAUCCCAGAUGGUUGUAUUUUGUCUACUUGGAGAGUUAUCAUGCACAAUCUGCCACAGGCUCUUCUGUUAGUAAUGCUGAUCAAACACAUUAUGUCACAUUCUAUUUCUUGUUUAUUUAGUGCUUUUUUAAACAUGUAAGAAUGGUAGCAGAAUCCAGUUGGGGAGUGCACUGUUUAAGGAGUGUACAUAUAGUACUUCUGCUGUGGUUUAACCUGGCAGGUGGCUGAGAACCACACUGUUGUUCACUUACUCUCCCCCACCCCACUCCCAGUGCAAUUGGAUAGAGAAUCAGAAAAGAACAAAGUAGAACUUGUGGGCUGAGAUAAAAACUAUUUACUAAAACAUAAAAAGAAAGAGGAAAAAAGGAUAAUUAUAUAUUCACAAAACAAAUAAUGCACAAGCAAUUGCUCACCACCCACCAAGAUGCCCAAUCAGUCCAAGCAGUGGCCUAUCCUGGCCAGUUGCCCCCCACUUUCAAUUUAUUUUAUGUGACACCACAUGGUAUGGAAUAUCUUUUUAACCAGGUUGGAUCAGCUGUCCUGGUUCUGUCCCCUCCCAGCAGCUUGCACUCCCUCAAUCCCCCUAACUGGCGGGACGGUACAAGAAGCUGAGAAACUGAAAGGUCCUACAUUGUUUUUCUCCUAAAACCAAAGCAUAGCAUCAUACCAAACACUAUGAAGGAAAAAUCAAGUUCUUCCCAGCCUAAACAAGAACAACUUAACAUAUAGGAAGCCAUUUAUUAUUACGCUAAUAUAAACAACGUCUAGGAGAGUUUGAAAAAGCUAUGAGCAAUACACUUUUGAGACAGGGCACAGUGGGAUAACUGGGUAGCAGGAGCUUUAGGCAAUUGAGCAGUGAUUACUAGACUUUUUUUUUAUUUUUAUUUUUUAAGAACUAAAUUAAGGUAAAAAUUUAAACAAAGGGCAUGAGCACAGCAUGCCUUAUGUUGAAGACUUACAUAUUCUAUUUGUGUAAAACCUGGAGGAGCUUCUGUUUUUACUGUUGCUUUUCUACAUCUUGUAUCAAAAAUGUUCAUAAGUUAAUAUGAGACUAUAAUGUAAAGUUUAUGCAAUUAAAGACCGUAAGAGAGUUUAUAGACCAUUCAUCAUUGGAUACGGGUCAUAAACUGUGAGUUUCAGAAAAUAAGAAAGGAAUUUCAUUUGUAGUUCACUGUUGCCUGAAGCCUACCUAAUGAAAUCUUUCUUAGUCAUAGAACUAACAGUGUAUCUAGCUGAAAAGCAUUGAAUAUUCACUGAGUCUAUUAAACUUGAAAAAGUAGAAUAAAAUCUUGCAUACUCAUAGGGUUUUUUGUUGGGUUCACUUCAACCAAAAUUAGACAGCUCUUGUUCAUUUAGUACAUUCAACAGGAGUUGAACCUUUAAGAUUCCACGCUGUCAGCUCCCAUCAUUUCAUAUGACAGCUGACUGAGUGUACUGAGUAAUGUACCCAGGCCAUACUAAGUGGAAAGCUGCUAAUGAAUACAAUUGGUUUUUUAAACCAAAGGAAAAGAAACACGUUAACCAGUGCUUUGUGGAUAUGUGGAUUCUGUUGGUCUUGUUUUGUCGUACCUAUGUAGCAGCAUACAGCGCUGAUAUGAAGAGAUCUGUAGAUUUCCUUAGAAAUAAUGUAUCUUGUUCUUUUCUAACUUUACUAUACUAUAUAAUAUUUUCUCAAAAACUAAAUACAUGUUGAAGAGAUACAUUUUUAAGGCAAUAAAAAACUCAAUUUCAUACCAAAGUCCUUUAAAGACUAGGGGAAAAAAUAAUGUUUAAAAGGAAAGGCUGAUGCUACUUACGCAGGAUGCUGAAAUAUUACUUGCAUGAAGCUUUUAGAAUGUUACAAACCAUGCAAGAAGAGUAUAAUACCAUCUGUUAUUUUUAAACAUGCUAUAUGAUUUCAGGUAGAAUUAGAGUCAGGGUUCUGAUUGGAGAACAGCAAAAAUGUAAAGUUUUGCUGAUAGAUUUCAGGCUUACCAGCUAUGGUCUUCAAAUUUACUCUCCUAUUCUUCAAAGACUCAUUAAACUUGAUAGUCUCAAACACUUUCAGUAAAGUUUCUAUUUGAGCAGAUGAAUAGAUGUAGAUUGUUGGUUUGGUAUAGUGUAGAAGUUGUUGGAAUAGGUUCAAAUCUCUGCUUUGAAAUUGAAAUCUCUAAUCCCCUGAAAAUUCAAAAUGGUUUCCGUAGGCCCAGUUUCUGCUAACUACUGCUAUCUGAAAGAAAUCCUAUUUAAUUUUAGACAUGUUUCUGUUCCUUUUUCCAUUCACGUUGGGUGGUUUACUGGAUAACAGCUGGCUUAUAAUUCUGGACAUUAUAACAGUAACUUCUGGUUAUGGAUAAAAAAAUCAAAGAGGAAUUUGCAAAGGAAAGACUCCUUUCCUUUUGUUGUUAUGAAAAAACCUGGUGAGAUUUUGAAGUAAUCUGGAAACUGCCUAUUGCAUUUACUUUGAAAUCUCUGCAAGUCCACUUUUUGUACCCCAGUGUUAUUAAUGUGGAAAUGCUCGAUUUAUGUUAAACUCUAAAAUUACAUGUUGGGAAAAAAGAAUAUUAACUAUUACCUUUGAAGUUUACAUGUUUGUUUAGUGUGCUGGUGACUCUCUUAUGUUAUUAUAUGUUAUUGUAUAUAUAACACGUUAUAUAUGUAGUAUGUUAUGAUAUAUAAUAAGUUAUUUCAAAUAUUUUCAAUGAAAAUACUUGAAAUAACAUCUAGAAUCAGUUUUUCUAAAAUACACAUUACCUUAAUGGGCAGAAAGUUUAAUAUGUUAAACAUUACUUUCAUUUUCAAAACAAACAAACAAACAAGCACAUCAUUUUUAGUGUUUCUUUUCCUUAUUUAAAAUCUCUUAGAGUUUAAAUACAUUGUGAAAUUUCAUACAAAACAAAAUUCUUGUAGUCUAGAUGUGUAUAUCUCUUUCUCAUAAAAUCAAGCUUAUCCCUUACAUUCACUUGGCUUUCCGAGUUGUACUUAAAGAUCAAAAACAUAUGUUGUUCCAGGUGUGCUUGUGAGCAGGCACCACUGAUGGGGCUUUAUGUAAAGAGAUAAAAAUUCUGUACAUGAGCUGUCACAAACUGUUUGGCUGAACAAAGUCAUUGUUACUAAAGCACUGCUGAUACUCUUAAAUGGAAAUGCAAUGAGAAACACUUGUGUGAAAACUAGAUUAGUAGAAUUGAAAGUCAUCAUGGAUUCUAGGUCAGAAGUAAAUAAAUAAGAUUGUUCAUGGAAGGUCAAAUAGUAUGCAUGUUCUCAGGGGGUGAUGAAAAUUUCUGCAGAGUAUAGAAACAGGUGUGAUUGUUAUACAGCAGGAGAAUGGAGAGCUUGCUGUAACCAGAACAUUUAAAAUUCUGCUGUCAAAAAUAUUGUACAAGAAAGAUAUAAGAUUAUGCUUAUUACUACUAAUUUAUGAGCGUAAAUAUGUUGAAGAGCUAGGAAUGCAGAGAAAAUAUUCUACAAUUUUGCCUUAAUAUUUAUAAGCCCUAAAGUGCACAAGAGUAUACUGUCCAAACAGGUUCAAUGAUAGCACUGUGCAUUUCAUUCUCUUUUUCACUAAGCCCAUGUAGAGAAUGGACAUGAACCACACCAUGGAGAUUGGACAUGUACUGUUUGACUAGAACAUGAAUUCAUCAGAUUGCCAGUGUGUGAAAGAAAAAGGCAAACAUUAAUUAGGCUGAUCAUGAAGAGGUAUUGCUUGCUUUCCUUUGCCAUUAUUUUGGAAACCAGGACUGGAGCUUUCAGGCUAGGAAGGGGUCAGAAGAUGGACAUGAAUGGGAAGGAAGCAAAAAGUCAGCAAAUCUCUGCCAGAACUUCUAUGCUGUGUACAGGGGAAGUGAAUGAUGUAAAAGUGGACGUAAAGUGGCUAUAACCGAUCUCAUUCUAGGGAGAGGUCUGCUGCCCAAGUUCACACACGAAGCCAAUGCAAGCGAAGCAGCUUUUCUCCUGGGUCUCACAUUAGCACUUGGACAGCUGAACCCAGGUUUCUGCACUCUGAGCCCAAGCAGGACACAGAAACACAUUAAUUUGGCCAAGAAAUGGUGUCUCCAUGAAGAUAAGACCAUUGGCUCUCUAUGAAAAAAAAAAAAGUUUAUCUCCAAUGCAGGACAUGGGUCUGUAUUACUUAUGUGUGUCAAACAUUUUCAAAAUUCCGUAGUCAGUUUACUUUGAAAAAAUCACAUUAAUUUUCUGCAUUUGAAGAGAGAUGUGAAAUUUUUCUAAGAAAUCUAGCAGAGCUCAGGAUUUCUAAGAAACUGAAACUUCUAGUUUUACAGCCUAAGUUAUAUCUCAUUAGUCAUGUGACUAAUCAAACCAAACUGAUUGUGUAUCAGCAUGUGUAUUUUUGUGUAAUAUAUUGUGCAAUUUGCUUCAUAAUGGACUGAAAUUUAGUAGUUAUUAGUACGUCUUUUAACAGCAAAAGCAACAACAGUGGGAGAUUAUUAUUUUCUUAUCUAAUUUUGCCAGUUCUACAAUGAGUUAAAAAUGGUAGCUAUUUUUCUUUUAGAAGCACAUUGUAUAUCACAGCAGAGGGGGGGAUCUAAGGGGCAAAGCAGAUACACAGCCUCAUAGACAUCUGUCUUGUUUUGGUUGUUCUAUAUACACAGACCUGUCAUAAAGGAAAUUUUAAAGAGAUGAAGAGGAGGGAGGAAAAAUUAUUACAAAAAAUCGUUAAAGGAAAUACAGUUAAUAAUCAACAUGUAUAUUUUAAUUCCACUUUUAUUGAAUAUAGAAAUCUUACUAUUAAAGUUGUAUUUAUUAUAGCUGAAAGGGGAGCUGAUAGAAUAACUAUUCUGAAGAAUUGUACAAGAAAGGUUUUUAGAAAUUUUAAGUAGCGGCAGGAGAGUAGAAACUAUAAUGCACACUAUCAUUUUUUUCUCUCCCAAAUGGGCUGGAGAAGAAUAGAUGUCUUGUAAAAUCAGCGUUUUCAUUUCCAGAUUGUAUUUACUUUAUGGAAAAGAGAAGCAACAGUUUUAUCACUUAAGUUUAGCACUAGUCACUGUACUUAAGAGUUUGAUCUUGAAAUUGCUUUCAGAAAAAACUAGUGCUUUAGACAGCUGGAAAAAAAAGAACUAAUUAAGAAUAGUUAGUGUUUAGUUGGCAGCCUGAGAUACAAAUCACUUUUUACAAGGUCUUUCCAUUUAUGUUUGUAUGGUAUGUUAAAAAUGAAAUGUUGGAAAUCACUGGUAAUCAUGUAUAAUCCUGUUGCCACCACACAGCAACAAUACACAGUGAUGAGCAUUGCUACUGCAACUGUACUCAGCUGCAAGCCAUUAAUAAGCUGAAUACAGCUAGGAUGCUCAGGUGUCAGUGUCCUAUGCAAUUUAUUUAUAGACAUAUGUUUUGCAUCUGUUAAGAGAGGAAGACACAUUUCCUACUGAAGAAUGCCAUUAAUAUGCCAAAUAGAGAGGAAAGAGUUUUGUAUUUCAUAGAGUUGUUUACUAUUCAUCUGAACCUAGGAUAUUCCUCCAGUAUCAAGAAGACAUUUACGUCUAUUCUGCCCUCAUGAGGCCACACCUAGAGUACUGCGUCCAGUUCAGGAUUCCCCAGUUCAAAAAAGAAAAAAAAGCCAGGAAACUACUAGAGAGAAUCCAGUGCAGGGCCACAAAGACUAUUAGGGGCCUGAAGCAUCUCCCUUAUGAGGAAAAGGACCUGGGAUUGUUCAGCCUGGAGAAAAGACUGAAAGGGGAUCUUAUCCAUGUUUUAAAAAUCUAAUGGACAGGAUUCAAGACAAUGGGGCCAGAUUCUUUUUGGUGAUGCCCAGUGACAGGACAAGGGGUAAUGGGUACAAACAGGAACGUAGGAAGCUCCAUACAAACAUGAGGGAAAAAUUCUUCACUUUGAGGAUGACAGAGCACUGGAACAGGCUUCUGGAGUCUCCUACUCUGGAGAUAAUCAAAACCUUCCUGCAUGCUUCCUUGUGUAAUCUACUGUAAGGAACCUACUUUAGUAGGAGAGUUGGACUAGAUGAUCUCCAGAGGUCCCUUCCAACCCCUACAAUUUGUGAUUCUGCAUUUCUGUGUUCCAUAUGGAAGAGAAUGAACCUUACUCCAUCUAAGAAAGUGUACAGGCUACUCGUAAUUACACGGGGAACAGAGAAAUUAAACUUCAGAUGGAGACCUAAGAGGUGUGGUAAGAGUUAAGCAGCUGCACCAAAAGAGGAAGACAAUGGUAAUUAUAAGACUUGGAGCCAUCCUUUUAUCAGGAGGUAAAAGGAAAGGGAGGUGCUUAAGGAAAGUGAAUCCUAUUGAUAUGGGUCUGAUAUGGGAACCUCCAGGAGGUUCCUGGAUUUAAUUGAUAAAUUCCUUCUUGCGGUGAUAGAGGAUUCAGUGAGGAGAGGAACUCUCACCAACAUGGAAGGGCUUGUGGCAAAUCUGAAGACCAAGGGUAGCCUUGACUGAAGAGGCUGUGAAGUGAGGGAGUUAAGAUCCAUAGGGCAGCUGGAUCAAGCUCACUGCCUAUGGAUGCCUUAUCCUUGUAAGCAUUCAAGGCCAGGUGGGAUGGGGUUUUGGUCAACCUGACCUAGUGGAAGGUGUCCCUGCUCAUGUCAGGGGAUCAGAAUUAGAUGAGUUUUAGGAUCCUUUCGCACCAAAAACUUUCCGUGGUUGUAAGAUUCUAUGGCUUCCAUUUAAGUAAACUAACUGCAAUUUUUCUUCAAUUUCUUCACCUCAGUCUUUUUUAAAGAAAUGUUAAAAAUAAUUUACUUUAGAUUUUAUGAAUAAAUUUGUUUACUUAUACAUGUAUUCAUAUCUAUAUUAACGUCAUUUGAUUUAAGAAUAAUUUUUCUCAUUUAUUAACUAUAUUGUACCCUGGGACUUUAUGUCCCAAGAACUCCAGCUCCAUAGAGUAUGUUUUGCUUUAUUGAAAGGUUAACAGAAGAAAUGCUCCUUUGAACUACAUGUUUUAACAUGGAGAUUUGGCAUCAUAGGAAUUACAAAAGUUCAAUCUGUCUUCUAGAAAUUGUGACAAACUCUUUGGUGAGGAUUUUUCUCAAUAAAAUUUUGAAGCUACUUGCCAUUAUAUUAAAUAUCAAUCAUAGUUAUAACCUCAGUUAUUAAACACCUUUAAGAGUAAAAUAACUUUUAAAAAGAGAUUUUUUUCUCUCUUUUUUUUUUUUUCUGAGGAAGAAAUGGGAUCCCUUGCAAAGGCAAGGGAAUGCUACCAGUGCUCAUAAAGUGGAUUAGUGGUAGAACUUCCCAGAACUUACAUAGUGUUGGACUGAUAAUUUAGUAGCAGAAAGUAAUCUCCUAGAGAUUGCUUCACCAAGGAAAUAAUCAACUGCUUGCAUUCUAAUAUCACACAUCAAUGAAAAAGAAGAAAAAUAAAAGAAAGAAGGAAUAUAUUAUAAACUGUAUAUGCUGUAUUAUCUUAGAUAAAAUAAAGGAAUUAAAAGUCUAAUAUUUGCCAUUGGAAAGACAAACAUAUUGUUUGAAUAGAAAGCAUGAACUUUGAGUAAGUCAGCAUACAAAGCAUAGUAAAAGUACAAUUUCCCAUUGUUGACAGUAUGCAUUAAGUUUGUUCCACAAACAUAAACAAUACAUCCAGAGUGGGAAAUGAGCAAAACAUCAGCCUUCUAGAGAACCUGUUGCGCAUUUUCUCCAGCACAUUCAUCAACUUGGGGGAUUUUUCACAGCUGUCAUUAAAUGGUACUGGCCAGUUAAAAUGUGGUGUAAUUUUUGCAUUUACAUUGUGAAUAUUCUGUGAAGUAAAUGCAAUCAGUUUCACAAAGUAUUAUUAUAAGUCACCUCACAUAUUUUUAACACUUCAUUUUGUCCACUUUGAAAAAAACACUUGCCUGGUGUAACCAAAAUAAGUGUAGCAAAGUAAAUAUCACGAAGACAAUUUCUUUGCUGAGAUCACUCUCAUACUUCUGUUAUCAAGUCACUUCUUAAAAGAUUUGCCAAAAAUAAACUUUCUGAUGAUGGCAUC
Gallus gallus (chicken) is the source of this 9879-nucleotide long non-coding RNA. RefSeq lists it as uncharacterized. Lineage: Eukaryota; Metazoa; Chordata; Aves; Galliformes; Phasianidae. The record is from RefSeq and is a predicted model, not a curated record. The transcript has 10 exons.